RNAcentral lists this long non-coding RNA (279 nucleotides) under Elaeis guineensis (African oil palm). Its description in RNAcentral is "long non-coding RNA (EGUI_LNC035324)". The record is from RNAcentral. Lineage: Eukaryota; Viridiplantae; Streptophyta; Magnoliopsida; Arecales; Arecaceae.
GUUUGGGCUUGACAUAAUUCUAUGCCCAUAGCUCAUCCAGAAUGUUGUAUGAUCGAAGGAUUGAAUUACAUAAUAACUUAUCACUGAAAGGUAUUUUUGAUAUUUUCAUCAAAUUUUAUAUCUUCUGGAUAGUCAUGAUAUGUUGCUAAAUAUCAAUCUUGACUUAUGAACUCACAUGAAUUAAAAGAGUUUAACUCAAAAAUUAAUUAGAAAGAGUUUUGAUUAAUUGGUCAUUUAGACUAAUCUAAUCUAAUCGGAUUGAUUUAAGUCAUGAGCCUG